GAACCAGUAAAACAUAAAUCAUGAAAACUUUUUUAAAUAAUACUUGGUGGUGGUGCUUUCGAAACUAAUCUUCGUGAAGUAAAACCCUAGUAUAUUUAAAACUAAAAUAUCCAAAAGGCUUGUC
This is a regulatory RNA element of 124 nucleotides. It matches the Rfam family "Bacteroidete tryptophan peptide leader RNA". The record is from Rfam.